UGGGGAAUUUUGGACAAUGGGCGAAAGCCUGAUCCAGCAAUGCCGCGUGUGUGAAGAAGGCCUUCGGGUUGUAAAGCACUUUUGUCCGGAAAGAAAUCCUUGGCUCUAAUACAGUCGGGGGAUGACGGUACCGGAAGAAUAAGCACCGGCUAACUACGUGCCAGCAGCCGCGGUAAUACGUAGGGUGCAAGCGUUAAUCGGAAUUACUGGGCGUAAAGCGUGCGCAGGCGGUUUGCUAAGACCGAUGUGAAAUCCCCGGGCUCAACCUGGGAACUGCAUUGGUGACUGGCAGGCUAGAGUAUGGCAGAGGGGGGUAGAAUUCCACGUGUAGCAGUGAAAUGCGUAGAGAUGUGGAGGAAUACCGAUGGCGAAGGCAGCCCCCUGGGCCAAAUACUGACGCUCAUGCACGAAAGCGUGGGGAGCAAAACAGGAUUAGAUACCCUGGUAGUCCACGCCCUAAAACGAUGUCAACUAGUUGUUGGGGAUUCAUUUCCUUAGUAACGUAGCU
This 508-nucleotide ribosomal RNA is filed under the name uncultured bacterium. Its description in RNAcentral is "partial 16S ribosomal RNA". It matches the Rfam family "Bacterial small subunit ribosomal RNA", at positions 355 to 853 of the family's 1533-position model. The record is from RNAcentral.